AGAGUUUGAUCAUGGCUCAGGAUGAACGCUAGCUACAGGCUUAACACAUGCAAGUCGAGGGGAAACGACAUCGAAAGCUUGCUUUUGAUGGGCGUCGACCGGCGCACGGGUGAGUAACGCGUAUCCAACCUGCCCACCACUUGGGGAUAACCUUGCGAAAGUAAGACUAAUACCCAAUGAUAUCUCUAGAAGACAUCUGAAAGAGAUUAAAGAUUUAUCGGUGAUGGAUGGGGAUGCGUCUGAUUAGCUUGUUGGCGGGGUAACGGCCACCAAGGCGACGAUCAGUAGGGGUUCUGGAGAGGAAGGUCCCCCACAUUGGUACUGAGACACCGGACCAAACUCCUACGGGAGGCA
RNAcentral lists this ribosomal RNA (354 nucleotides) under uncultured bacterium. RNAcentral's name for it is "bacterial SSU rRNA". It matches the Rfam family "Bacterial small subunit ribosomal RNA", at positions 8 to 350 of the family's 1533-position model. The record is from RNAcentral.